Molecule: unclassified non-coding RNA, 331 nt
Filed under: soil metagenome
Description: partial contains 5.8S ribosomal RNA, internal transcribed spacer 2, and large subunit ribosomal RNA
Rfam family: 5.8S ribosomal RNA (bases 1-120)
Source: RNAcentral
GAUGAAGAACGUAGCGAAAUGCGAUACGUAAUGUGAAUUGCAGAAUUCAGUGAAUCAUCGAGUCUUUGAACGCACAUUGCGCCCCCUGGUAUUCCGGGGGGCAUGCCUGUUCGAGCGUCAUUUCACCACUCAAGCCUCGCUUGGUAUUGGGCAACGCGGUCCGCCGCGUGCCUCAAAUCGACCGGCUGGGUCUUCUGUCCCCUAAGCGUUGUGGAAACUAUUCGCUAAAGGGUGUUCGGGAGGCUACGCCGUAAAACAACCCCAUUUCUAAGGUUGACCUCGGAUCAGGUAGGGAUACCCGCUGAACUUAAGCAUAUCAAUAAGCGGAGGA